RNAcentral lists this transfer RNA (88 nucleotides) under Nostoc minutum NIES-26. RNAcentral's name for it is "tRNA-Tyr". The stretch from base 7 to 78 matches the Rfam family "tRNA", at positions 7 to 64 of the family's 71-position model. From Rfam's summary of the family: Transfer RNA (tRNA) molecules are approximately 80 nucleotides in length. Their secondary structure includes four short double-helical elements and three loops (D, anti-codon, and T loops). Lineage: Bacteria; Bacillati; Cyanobacteriota; Cyanophyceae; Nostocales; Nostocaceae. The record is from RNAcentral.
GGGUCGGUAUCCAAGUCCGGUUGAAGGAAGCCGUCUGUAAAACGGAUGCCUAUGUGCCCCGUAGGUUCAAAUCCUACCAUUCCGACCA